AUUGAACGCUGGCGGCAGGCCUAACACAUGCAAGUCGAACGAGGGGCGGACGGGUGAGUAAUGUGUGGGAAACUGCCCGGUGGAGGGGUAUAACUACUGGAAGCGGUAGAUAAUACCGCAUACCAUCGGAUGUGCCGAGAUGGGUUUAGCUAGUAGGUGGGGUAACGGCUCACCUAGGCGACGAUCCCUAGCUGGUCUGAGAGGAUGACCAGCCACACUGGAACUGAGACACGGGCCAGACUCCUACGGGAGGCAGCAGUGGGGAAUAUUGCACAAUGGGCGCAAGCCUGAUGCAGCCAUGCCGCGUGUAUGAAGAAGGCCUUCGGGUUGUAAAGUACUUUCAGCGAGGAGGCGUUACUCGCAGAAGAAGCACCGGCUAACUCCGUGCCAGCAGCCGCGGUAAUUC
This 406-nucleotide ribosomal RNA is filed under the name uncultured bacterium. RNAcentral's name for it is "partial 16S ribosomal RNA". It matches the Rfam family "Bacterial small subunit ribosomal RNA", at positions 30 to 526 of the family's 1533-position model. The record is from RNAcentral.